AUUUGAUCAAACAUCAUUCUCAGUGUUUUCAUGAAGAUAUAUUUGGAUGAGAUUAACAUUUGAUAGUAGACUGAGUAAAGCAGAUUGCCUUCCUCAGUGUGGGUGGGCCCCAUCCAGAAUUGAAAUCCUCACUACAGGAUUUAUAAUGAAGUCCUCACUAGAACAAAAUUGCUGACACUCUCUUAAAUACAAAAGAAUUUUUUCUGUCUAACCUCCUUGAAACUGGCGGUGGCUUAAGCCUGUAAUCCCAGCACUUUGGGAGGCCGAGGUGGGUGGAUCACGAGGUCAAGAGAUCGAGAUCAUCCUGGUCAACAUCCCCGUCUCUACUAAAAAUACAAAAAAUUAGCUGGGCAUGGUGGUGCAUGCCUGUAAUCCCAGCUACUCAGGAGGCUGAGGCAGGAGAAUUGCCUGAACCCAGGAGGCGGAGGUUGCGGUGAGCCGAGAUGGCGCCAUUGCACUCCAGCCUGGGUAACAAGAGCGAAAAGAAAAGAAAAGAAACUUUGACAUUGGCUUCUUUCCUGACUUUGAACUCAAACUGAAGCACUGGCUGUUCCGCAGCCAUCAGCUUGCCAGCCUUCAGACAGGAAGCACAUCACCAGCUCUCCUGGUUCUCAGGCCUUUCGACUUGGACUGGAACUAAACCAUCAGCAAUUUUGGGUCUCCAGCUUGCCCUGUAGAUCUUGGGGCUUACCUGCCUUCAUAAUUGCAAGAGAAAAAUUGAACAUCAGAGGAAUUCAAGAAAUUGUCCAGAAUCAGGAAGAGGAAGAAACCCACCGGAACUUCCUCUCUCCGUAAUAUGUGGACACAACAAGAAGACAGCAUUCUGCAAGCCAGCAAGAGAGCUCUCACCAGGAACUAAAGUAGCCAGCACCUUGAUUUUGGAAUUCCCACCCUCCAGAACUAUGAAAAAAAAAAUUGCAUGAUAUUUUGUUAUAGUAGCCUGAGUUGACUGAGACAGUCAUUGAUAGAAAAGAAUAAUAUUAUCUAUAUUUACUGUAAUAUUGUUUAUUAUAUAGGAAACGUCCUCAAAUGAAAUACUGAAGGAGCUUGUUUCUUCAGUAUAACCAGAUGAGAGUGUAUUUAUUUUAAGCUAUU
This 1095-nucleotide long non-coding RNA is filed under the name Callithrix jacchus (white-tufted-ear marmoset). Its description in RNAcentral is "lncRNA (ENSCJAG00000071634.1)". The record is from RNAcentral. Lineage: Eukaryota; Metazoa; Chordata; Mammalia; Primates; Cebidae.